This 2194-nucleotide long non-coding RNA is filed under the name Triticum aestivum (bread wheat). RNAcentral's name for it is "long non-coding RNA (TAES_LNC016051)". Lineage: Eukaryota; Viridiplantae; Streptophyta; Magnoliopsida; Poales; Poaceae. The record is from RNAcentral.
AAACAUAAAACAUUACAUAAAGAGAAGCACCGAACAGUGAAUGUAAAAAUAACUCCCACAUCCAUCAUAUAUUGGGAGCUUCCACUUGAAUAGGAAAAUUUGUUUAUCCCUCACAAAUUAAAACACGAAACCUGAUGAAAAGAAGUAUUGGUUUCUCAUUGACAUAAUAACAAAUAGGAGCACAAAAUCAUAGCUUUUCAUCAAUGUCAGCAUGAUGCAUCGUUGCAUUUUUCUCGUUGUUAUUGUUGUUGUUGUUGUCUUCCUGGACUAUUGAAAGUGCUCUUCUUGGUCAUUUAUUGUCAUGGCCAAUAACGCCUGAAAGUGCUCUUCCAGGUCUCCACUCUCCCAAAAUCCCUAAAACAUUAAAAAUCAACAGAUUUACACAACGAAUAUAGAAAUGCACAAAUGAAUCUCCUCCUCAAGAUCAGUGAUGAAGGAUGCAAUAAAUAUCAUCGAUCAAAUGCCAAAGCGUAUUAUAAAUGAGAUACAUGCUUCUCAAGCCUUAACGAAGGCAAAAAAUUGAUUUUUCAAUGCAUUAUAGGCAAGAACGGAUCCAAGUCAGAACUGAUGCGAUUUAUUCCAUCGAACCACUAUGAAAGUUUCUCUAUACUGUUACGUUUUUAACACACAAGUAUUGAACUGUUUUUGCUGCCUUUCCAUUAUGAAUUAAUGGCGUAAUACAUGUUGAACUGUUACUCAAGAGCGAAAUUCAGAAAUACAUAUAUAUUGGCAUACUCCAAAUAAGUGCAUUUUCAGGAACAAAACUUUCUGAACUUCUAUACGAAAGAACUUGAACAAUCAGUCCAAAACAUAAUUCAAGUUGAACGAUCAUUUUCCUUACCGAGUGUUAAGGAAAAUGAAACAAGAGACGAGCUCGACGGAGAACUUGGACUGAAGAACUUGCACACGACGAGCUGCAGGGGAUAAGGGAGGGCGGUAGUGCGCGGUGUUCUGAGGCGGCGAAUGGAGGUGGAAGCAGGGGAGAACAUCAUUAUCUUAGGACUUUAUCCUAUUUUCAACACUAGUACACAGUCCCUGUAUGUGCUAUUCUCCCAUAGGCAUUAACACAAGCACCUUGUGUGUUUAGGAAGAACAAGGCACUCGAAUUAGAAUAGACACUGAAGAAACUCGCUACAAAACAUUACUUAUUUUAGGUGAUAUAUGUAAACUUAUAGAAUUUCAAAACAUGAACUGAUGAUAUUUUUGCACACGCACCAACUAGUUUGUAUUUUUUUCAUGAAUACACACCAAACAAAUAUUAAGUUUAUUACAGAAAUUCUCUAUUCAUGAACUGACAAUAUUUAUUCUUUGUGAACUGAAGAAAAGAGAACAAAAAUACACACGGAACUAACAAUAGUAUACACACUGAAGAAAAAAUAAUUUCUUCUCUAUGAGCUGACGAUACAAUACACAAAUAUUUGUAUUCUAUCAUCAGGUUUUUUCAUGGCAGGCAGUACAAGAAUGACUAGGAAAAAAAGGAAAAAUAGGGAAUUUAGUGGCCAAAAUCACUGUAAUAACUAGUGGCAGUCUCUGUGGUUUACCUCCUGUUUGCAUACCACGCAAAUGGGCCUGUUGCUAGCUAUAACUGCAGAGAGAGAGAGAGAAGAAAUUGGCAAAAAUACAUUGUUUCUCUUUCUGCUCAGACAUUCCCACAGAACAGGCCAAGUGCACAAAUUGAACUGAUCUUUUCCAUGACACGAACGGGGGCUAGUGCUGCUGCUGUACGUGCAUGAGGUUCAUGAGAGGUUCAACGGGAGAAGGGUGGAGCCAGUUUUCAAGUAAGGAUAUGCACAAAGAACUGAGAAGCAAAAUAAGUUCUAGUUGGCUAACACAAGAAACAUGUGAAACCAUAUACUUAGCCACUCUUUCCAAAGAGGUAGUAGCAUUGAAUCUUCCUUGUAGAAAGAUAUCUAGAUUAGAAGUUCAGAAGUUGAGCAAGGAUAUGCUUUUUGAAGUAGUAUAUAUAGUAAUUUGCUACCUUGCUUUUUGGUCACAAUAUAGUAUUUGAAAACUACCUCCAAGUUACCAAAUUGAAAGGUUGUAAUGACGAUACUUUAUGCUAGAUGAAUUGUAUGGUUGAAACAGAGACAACUCAAAGAAUAGGAAUACACGGCCAACCUUGCCAUCGAUGAUAGACUUGCUUGUUGCGCAUUCCUCCUCCGAUUGUUGUCGGAUUGUUUUCGGAUUUUAAGCA